RNAcentral lists this ribosomal RNA (500 nucleotides) under uncultured bacterium. RNAcentral's name for it is "bacterial SSU rRNA". It matches the Rfam family "Bacterial small subunit ribosomal RNA", at positions 8 to 507 of the family's 1533-position model. The record is from RNAcentral.
AGAGUUUGAUCAUGGCUCAGGAUUAACGCUGGCGGUAUGUCUAACACAUGCAAGUCGAACGGAAUACUAAUUAAGAGAAUCUCACACUAGUGAGAGGUUCUCACGAGUAGUAUUUAGUGGCGGACGGGUGAGUAACACGUUGGAACCUGCCCCGAAGUGGGGGAUAACUGCUCGAAAGAGUAGCUAAUACCCCAUAGUAUCCGGUUUAUCCGGAUUAAAGAUUUAUCGCUUCGGGAGGGGCCUGCGUCUGAUUAGCUAGUUGGUGAGGUAAAAGCUCACCAAGGCGACGAUCAGUAGCUGGUUCGAGAGGAUGACCAGCCACACUGGGACUGAGAUACGGCCCAGACUCCUACGGGAGGCAGCAGUGAGGAAUCUUCCACAAUGGGCGCAAGCCUGAUGGAGCAAUACCGCGUGCAGGAAGACGCUUUUCGGAGUGUAAACUGCUUUUGUCGUCGAAGAUUAUGACUGUAGACGAAGAAUAAGGACCGGCUAACUACGUG